UCGGCUCACCGCAACGCAUCGCGAGCCCGAUCCACACGCGCGGUCCAGGGCUCAUGAGGAGAGAGAAGAAGGUCCGAAGGGCAACCUGGUAACUUCACAUCAAGUUUUUGGCACCAUUGUCGGGGAUUUGGCAUUUUAAAUUAUUUUCAAAUAUUUGUUCUUCGUGCUUUAUAACUCUCUUUCUUUUUCCUUUAGGUUUCUAGAUUUAGUUGGUGAUUGCUGGAAAACUCAGGCACGCUUCUAAUUUCUCUUUUAUUAUUUUUAGUUAAUUACUUUUCCUUUUAGACCUAAUCAUUUGAAUUUACUUAAUCACAAAAAANNNNNNN
RNAcentral lists this long non-coding RNA (326 nucleotides) under Elaeis guineensis (African oil palm). Its description in RNAcentral is "long non-coding RNA (EGUI_LNC053161)". The record is from RNAcentral. Lineage: Eukaryota; Viridiplantae; Streptophyta; Magnoliopsida; Arecales; Arecaceae.